CGUAGGAGGCGAGCGUUAUCCGGAUUCACUGGGCGUAAAGCGCGUGCAGGCGGUUUGGUAAGUUGGGCGUGAAAGCUCCCGGCUCAACUGGGAGAGGUCGUUCAAUACUACCAAACUAGAGAGUGGAAGAGGAAGAUGGAAUUCCCGGUGUAGUGGUGAAAUGCGUAGAUAUCGGGAGGAACACCAGUGGCGAAGGCGAUCUUCUGGUCUAUUUCUGACGCUCAGACGCGACAGCUAGGGUAGUAAACGGGAUUAGAGACCCCGGUAAUCCUAGCCGUAAACGAUGUGAACUUGGCGUCGGUGGCUUAAACACCAUCGGUGCCGAAGCAAACGCGAUAAGUUCACCGCCUGGGGACUACGGCCGCAAGGUUA
This 372-nucleotide ribosomal RNA is filed under the name uncultured organism. RNAcentral's name for it is "bacterial SSU rRNA". It matches the Rfam family "Bacterial small subunit ribosomal RNA", at positions 526 to 896 of the family's 1533-position model. The record is from RNAcentral.